UUAGACGGGACCGCACAGCGUGGAUGAUGUGGAUUAAUUCGAUGCAACGCGAAAACCUUACCUACCUUGACAUGUCUGGAACCUUGGUGAGAGCCGAGGGUGCCUUCGGGAGCCAGAACACAGGUGCUGCAUGGCUGUCGUCAGCUCGUGUCGUGAGAUGUUGGGUUAAGUCCCGCAACGAGCGCAACCCUUGUCACUAGUUGCCAUCAUUUGGUUGGGCACUCUAGUGAGACUGCCGGUGACAAACCGGAGGAAGGUGGGGAUGACGUCAAGUCCUCAUGGCCCUUAUGGGUAGGGCUUCACACGUCAUACAAUGGUCGGUACAGAGGGUUGCCAAGCCGCGAGGUGGAGCCAAUCCCUUAAAGCCGAUCGUAGUCCGGAUUGUUCUCUGCAACUCGAGAGCAUGAAGUCGGAAUCGCUAGUAAUCGCAGGUCAGCAUACUGCGGUGAAUACGUUCCCGGGUCUU
RNAcentral lists this ribosomal RNA (466 nucleotides) under uncultured Thauera sp. Its description in RNAcentral is "bacterial SSU rRNA". It matches the Rfam family "Bacterial small subunit ribosomal RNA", at positions 917 to 1381 of the family's 1533-position model. Lineage: Bacteria; Pseudomonadati; Pseudomonadota; Betaproteobacteria; Rhodocyclales; Zoogloeaceae. The record is from RNAcentral.